AUUGAACGCUGGCGGCAGGCCUAACACAUGCAAGUCGAACGAGUGGCGGACGGGUGAGUAAUGUAUGGGAAACUGCCCGAUGGAGGGGGAUAACUACUGGAAACGGUAGCUAAUACCGCGUACAAUCGGAUGUGCCCAGAUGGGAUUAGCUUGUAUGUGAGGUAACGGCUCACCUAGGCGACGAUCCCUAGCUGGUCUGAGAGGAUGACCAGCAACACUGGAACUUAGACACGGUCCAGACGCCUACGGUAGGCAGCAGUGGGGAAUAUUGGACAAUGGGCGAAAGCCUGAUGCAGCCAUGCCGCGUGUAUUAAGAAGGCCUUCGGGUUUUAAAGUCCUUUCAGCGGGGAGGCGUUACCCGCAGAAGAAGCACCGGCUAACUCCGUGCCAGCCGCCGCGGUAAUAC
Molecule: ribosomal RNA, 406 nt
Filed under: uncultured bacterium
Lineage: Bacteria
Description: partial 16S ribosomal RNA
Rfam family: Bacterial small subunit ribosomal RNA
Source: RNAcentral